CUUCCACUACGUCGGCCUCGACGAGCCCGAGAAGCCGGAGGUCCUCUCCUACUCCUACGCCUCCGCCACAGCCCUCCUCCCGCGGCGCGCGCUCGUCAUCGCUCGAGCCGAUGGCCAGUCCCACGAGCUCCUCGUCGACGUCACCGACGCCUCCGCGCCGUCCGUCCUCUCGCACGCCGUCCACCGCGGCGCGGGCUUCCCGAUGAUGACGACGGAGGACCAGGUCGCGGCAAUGGCGCUGCCGCCCACGUACCCUCCCUUCGUGGACUCCGUGCGGCGGCGCGGGCUCAACGUCAGCGACGUCGGCUGCGGGGUGAUCUCCAGGGGGUGGUUCGGCGCUAGCCAGCCGGCCUACGGCGGCGGCAGGGUGGCGAAGAUGCAGUGCUUCGUCACCGCCGGGUCGGCCAACUUCUACGCGCGGCCGCUGGAGGGCGUCACGCUGGUGGUGGACCUCGACCGGGUGGCCAUCGUCGGGUACCGGGACAGGGUGGUGGAGCCGGUGCCCAAGGCCGACGGCACCGACUACCGGGCGGAGAAGCUCGGGCCGCCGUUCACCGGGCC
This 561-nucleotide long non-coding RNA is filed under the name Sorghum bicolor (sorghum). Its description in RNAcentral is "long non-coding RNA (SBIC_LNC007353)". Lineage: Eukaryota; Viridiplantae; Streptophyta; Magnoliopsida; Poales; Poaceae. The record is from RNAcentral.